UGCUGACACGUGUCGAUGACUCAGCAACUCAUUCGCCGCCAUUGAGCCCUCGCGGGCCGCGUAAAACCUUUCCUAUCUCUUACGCGGGCCGCGUAAAACGGAGAAUCAGGCCCUAUAAAUAGAGACCUUCGGCCGUUCAUUUGAAAUCGCACCAAAAUUCUUUCUCUCUCGAAUUUCUGAAGAAUUAAAGUAAUUCUCGGGUAUUAUACCCCCUAAUUAGUGAAGCUCUGUCUCGUUAUUAUAACCAGGAAGCCACAAAGGAAAUACCUAAAAUAGCAAUGUGAGUAAUCUCCUUUUUGUUAACAGUUUUUACAAAACCUUAACCUUUUUACAAUGCAAUUUAGCAGUAACUUAGUAUGAAGAACAUAAAAGCCAGCUGGAGAGCACUGAAGGCUUAGAAAAGUGGCUAUAAAAGUUACCUAAAUAAAAGAAAGUGUUU
Molecule: long non-coding RNA, 439 nt
Filed under: Helianthus annuus (common sunflower)
Lineage: Eukaryota; Viridiplantae; Streptophyta; Magnoliopsida; Asterales; Asteraceae
Source: RNAcentral